Molecule: long non-coding RNA, 333 nt
Organism: Oncorhynchus tshawytscha (Chinook salmon)
Lineage: Eukaryota; Metazoa; Chordata; Actinopteri; Salmoniformes; Salmonidae
Source: Ensembl
GUCAGAGUCAGAGUCGGUGUCAGAGUUAGAGCCAGUCAGAGUUAGAGCCAGUCAGAGUCAGAGCCCGUCAGAGUCAGAGCCCAUCAGAGUCAGAGUUAGAGCCAGUCAGAGUCAGAGCGGUUCAGAGUUAGAGUCGGUGUCAGAGUCGGUCGGAGUUAGAGCCGGUGUCGGUGUCAGAGCCAGAGCCAGUCAGAGUCAGAGCCAGUCAGAGUUAGAGCUAGUCAGAGCAGGUCAGAGUUAGUCAGAGUCGGUGUCAGAGUCGGUCGGAGUCAGAGCCGGUGUCGGUGUCAGAGCCAGUCAGUUAGUCCGAGUCUGUGUCAGAGUCGGUCGGAG